This 253-nucleotide ribosomal RNA is filed under the name uncultured bacterium. Its description in RNAcentral is "partial 16S ribosomal RNA". It matches the Rfam family "Bacterial small subunit ribosomal RNA", at positions 524 to 776 of the family's 1533-position model. The record is from RNAcentral.
UACGUAGGGUGCGAGCGUUGUCCGGAAUUAUUGGGCGUAAAGGGCUCGUAGGCGGUUUGUCGCGUCGGGAGUGAAAACCAUGGGCUUAACUCAUGGCUUGCUUUCGAUACGGGCAGACUAGAGGUAUGCAGGGGAGAACGGAAUUCCUGGUGUAGCGGUGAAAUGCGCAGAUAUCAGGAGGAACACCGGUGGCGAAGGCGGUUCUCUGGGACGGUACUGACGCUGAGACGCGAAAGCGUGGGGAGCGAACAGG